Small nuclear RNA from Neogale vison (American mink), 145 nucleotides. Its record names the gene U4. It matches the Rfam family "U4 spliceosomal RNA". From Rfam's summary of the family: U4 small nuclear RNA (U4 snRNA) is a component of the major U2-dependent spliceosome. The structure of U4 snRNA from yeast and human has been reported. The record is from Ensembl. Lineage: Eukaryota; Metazoa; Chordata; Mammalia; Carnivora; Mustelidae.
AGCUUUGCGCAGUGGCAGUAUCGUAGCCAAUGAGGUUUAUCCGAGGCGCGAUUAUUGCUAAUUAAAAAAUAAUAAUAAAAUUGAUAAGCCUCUUACUAGGCCAAGAAGAAAGAUCAGAAGUAUUUCACUGUUUUCCUCAUAGAAU